GCCGGGCAUGGUGGCGCAUGCCUGUAAUCCCAGCUACUCAGGAGGCUGAGGCAGGAGAUUCGCUUGAACUCAGGAGAUGGAGGUUACAGUGAGUCGAGAUCGCGCCACUGCUCUCCAGCCUGGACGACAGAGUGAGAUUCUGUCUCAA
This 148-nucleotide small RNA is filed under the name Pongo abelii (Sumatran orangutan). Its description in RNAcentral is "Metazoan signal recognition particle RNA (ENSPPYG00000039636.1)". The record is from Rfam by way of RNAcentral. Lineage: Eukaryota; Metazoa; Chordata; Mammalia; Primates; Hominidae.